Molecule: ribosomal RNA, 109 nt
Filed under: uncultured bacterium
Lineage: Bacteria
Description: partial 16S ribosomal RNA
Rfam family: Bacterial small subunit ribosomal RNA
Source: RNAcentral
AAUACGUUCCCGGACCUUGCACACACCGCCCGUCAAGCCAUGGAAGCUGGGUGUACCUAAAGUCGGUAACCGCAAGGAGCUGCCUAGGGUAAAACUAGUAACUAGGGCU